This is a long non-coding RNA of Brassica napus (rape), 834 nucleotides long. RefSeq lists it as uncharacterized. The transcript has 7 exons. The record is from RefSeq and is a predicted model, not a curated record. Lineage: Eukaryota; Viridiplantae; Streptophyta; Magnoliopsida; Brassicales; Brassicaceae.
AAAAUUCUGGUUCUUGGCUCAUACCGAAGCUAACCGGAAUCGACUUACCAGUUAAUUAAAUUGUACCAAACCGAUCCGUAAAUUAAUGAAAUGUCGUCGAUAUCGCUCAGCUUCUCUCCGUCUUCGCCUUGCCGACUGUGAGACUUCACCGAGUAAACACACUUUUCUUCAUCAACAACACAGCCACGUGUCACCAUAUAACUCGUUCCAGCUGCUAACAACCUCUAACGACUUUAACUGCUUUGCAACAUCAUCGAUCCUCAGUAAGAGGAGAUAAAUCUCUAACGUAUGGAGAUCUUUUUGGCGUGCAGCCAGCAAGAUCAUCCUAUCUAUGAGGAUGAGCCUAUUGAUAAGAGCAAGCUCUGGGGUGAUUUAGAGGAAGAAGAGGAAGAGGAACAAGAGGAGGAGAUGGAUGAAGAGGAACUAGAAGACGGCAUGGAAUCGGUUUAUACAUUGUCAAGCAUUCCAACUGGCACCGAGACACCGAAUGCAAUUGAAGAGAAAGGAAUCCGAUAGGCCUCUAUAUCAAAAGCAUUGGGAGGGAGAAGAUCAAGUUUCUGUUUCAGAAGCAGAUGAGUCUUGGACGCAAAGCAAACCAUGUACUUAAGAAUUUCCCCUGGAACAGUGUUGGGAACCACACACACAUAUGUUAUUAAAACUGGCACUCAAGACAAGCUGGGAGCGAAAGGGUUGAUUUGCUGAGAGGGGCAAAAGACAGAUGGAUAUCAGUUUACUGGAGGCCAUGGAGAAUGUUUUACCUGCCAAUAUGAGGAGGCAAGAGAAGAGGAGAGAAACUACACAAUAAGCUAAGGACUUCACUGACAUGGUCGCCGA